RNAcentral lists this ribosomal RNA (253 nucleotides) under uncultured bacterium. RNAcentral describes it as "partial 16S ribosomal RNA". It matches the Rfam family "Bacterial small subunit ribosomal RNA", at positions 524 to 776 of the family's 1533-position model. The record is from RNAcentral.
UACAGAGGGUGCGAGCGUUAAUCGGAAUUACUGGGCGUAAAGCGCGCGUAGGCGGCUUUGCAAGUCGGGUGUGAAAUCCCCAGGCUUAACCUGGGAACUGCAUUCGAGACUGCAUUGCUAGAGUAUGGGAGAGGCAAGUGGAAUUUCCGGUGUAGCGGUGAAAUGCGUAGAUAUCGGAAGAAACAUCAGUGGCGAAAGCGACUUCCUGGACCAAUACUGACGCUCAUGUGCGAAAGCGUGGGGAGCAAACAGG